UUUAGUUUCAUUUUGACGCAGCUGUUGUGAGGAUAUGCACUGUGGUUUGAAACAGCGUACGUAAGUAUGCUUAUUUAAGCGAAAUAAAGAUGCCCUGGUCACUUUACGUGAACAAUAUACCGCCUGAGAUUACCGAAGAAAAAUUGAUCAUAUAUUUCCAGUCCAGCAAGUCAGGAGGCGGCGAUGUCGAUUCAGAUGCUAGCAGAUGGAAUGGCGACAACGCAGUUGUAGUUUUUGAGGAAGAAGAAUGUAAGUAGUCUAGUAUCAUUAACCCUGAAUCUCUACUGAAUAGAAAAACUACAUGGC
This is a non-coding RNA of Paramuricea clavata, 306 nucleotides long. NCBI's taxonomy places the organism in Eukaryota, Metazoa, Cnidaria, Anthozoa, Malacalcyonacea, Plexauridae. The record is from the annotation of a GenBank genome assembly.